GUUGGCACACUACCAAAAAUAUUUGUCUUGUUUUGUCUUGGUUAGUAACAUUUUACUUAAUUCGUGGACACAUGUGCUUGCAUGAAGAAAUUUCAAGAAGAAAUAAGAAUGAAUAAGAAAAAACGAAAGAGAUCAUUCGAAGACCAUUUUCUUGUAAAUUCUUAUAACAGGAGAAAUGUCCUUACUUUUCUUAAGCUAAGAAAUAAUUUGUCAAAAAGACUUUUUCCCCUUAGAAUUUUCAAGAAAUGUAAGUCAAAUAUUCUUGGUAUUCUUGUAUGAAGACUGAAAUUCUUGCCAUAUUUAAGAAAGUACAAGAAUUUUUCCCUACCCCCUCUUGAUUUUCUUAUAGUAAGAAAAAAACAAGAACAUCAAGAUAUAAAAUACAAGUAGUUCCUGGAACAAAAGUCUUGAAUUUUCUUGUUUCACAUAUCAAGAAACAUCAAGAAACUCUAUUCUUGCUUUUUGGGGAAUGUUCAAGAAAAAACAAGAAUUUCGUUCUUACAUUUCCUCAGGUAUAAGCUUUUCUGCUCAGAAAAACAAGAACAUUCAAGAUAAUUUAAGUACAAGAUAAAGUGCAAGGAAUUACUGGAAUAAAAAUCUUGAAUGUUCUUGUCUUUUGUAUCCAGAAACUUUGAUAAACGCAUUUUUUUUCCUAAGUGAAGAAAGUUUUUCUCAUAUAACAUUAGCCAUGUUAGCGUUCACGAGUGUUCUAGAAAUCUGGAGGAUUUGCAUAAUCUAUCUUAAUUUUAGAUAAUUAAGAACUCGGGUACAAGAGUAUGGUCCUUGACUUACUUGACUGAAUACUAUAAUAACAAAACAGGAAAUUACAGAACAAGCUUUGACUAGCAUAAGACUCUUGAAUGUUCGUGAUUGUUGUUUUUAUUUAAAAAAUCUAAUAAAAACUAGUGCAUAUAGAAACUUUUCCAUUGACCUUCUUGGCAGACACUGUUUAUCAUAAUACAUGUGUCUAUCAAGAUGUAAAGAACAAUUAGUUGGAACCAGCAUAGUUUUUGUCUAUUUUCUCAAUAUCAGAUCAGAGUUUAAGAAAUUAAUUCUAUAUUUUUCUGGUAAUAAGACAACAAUUUUGCUAAGGAUCAUGGGAAAUUACUCCCAUCAUCCUUUGCUGCAAAUUUCAAAUUCUAGACAGUUGCAGCUUGCAUGCAAACUGCCUCUCCUGGUUUAUUUGUCUGAUGUGCAUUAGAUCUUACAAAUACAGGGCACAGAUAUGGUAGAUUUUCUUUAGGACACUUGCCUGUAUCACCUGGGACCCUGUUUUCAACAUGGCCUCGCAUUUCUAAGCUCCAAAAUGCAACCAAAGCCGAAGUCAAGCUUGGAACAUUAUCUAUUCAGGCGUGGAAACCAGUUGGACCAAAGAGGAUGCCCCCAUCUCAACUUUGGAAAAGCUUUCAACAAGAACAAGUGACAUGUAUUAUGAUUAUGAUACCAUCACCAACAACAUUACAGCAGUAAUGGUGCUGUUUUAGAAGGACAAUAAUUAAGUUAUUAGUAUGCUCAGUAUCAGGAAAAUGGAUUUUUAUAAGCAAGCAUCAUAUAUAAUCUAAAUCUGUUGGUAUCUGCAAUAAUGUUGCAAUCUUUAAAAUAAUGGUUCAUAGGGAAAAAAUGCCC
Long non-coding RNA from Branchiostoma floridae (Florida lancelet), 1626 nucleotides. RefSeq lists it as uncharacterized. The record is from RefSeq and is a predicted model, not a curated record. NCBI's taxonomy places the organism in Eukaryota, Metazoa, Chordata, Leptocardii, Amphioxiformes, Branchiostomatidae. The transcript is spliced from 2 exons.